CAGCGGGGUUUCGGGGCUGUGGACCCUGUGCCAGGAAAGGAAGGGCGCAGCUCCUGCAAUGCAGAGCGGCCAGGGCAGUGGGCACCAGGCUUUAGCCUCCCUUUCUCACCCUACAGAGGGCAGGCCCUUCAGCUCCAUUCUCCUCCAAGGCUGCAGACGGGGCAGGAACUGGGGGUGACAGGAGAGCUGUAAGGUCUCCAGUGGGUCAUUCUGGGCCCAGAGAUGGGUGCUGAAGCUCCCACACCUGCCUGUGAAAAUGGAGUCCUCUCUCACCUAGGAGAGCCAGGUGCUGCCCCGAGAAGGAAGCAUUUAUGGCUUCAUGAAGUCUUUCCUGACCCCCGAUGCUGCUGACUAUAGAGACAAAGUCUCACUAUGUUGCUCAGGCUGGUCUUGAACUCCUGGCCUCAAGCGAUCCUCCCACCUUAGCCUCCCAAAGUGUUGGGAUUAUAGACAUGAGCCACUGCACCUGGCCGACCUUGGGCAAGUUCUUAAACCCUUCAAAGCCUCAUUUUUCUCCAAUCAUAAAAGGGAAAGAUGGUAAUAUUUUCCCUGCCAAAUUCUUGUCGGAUGCCCUCACAGAAUUGAGAUUAUGUACAUAAAACACCAGGUGCCUAACCCGGCACAGAGCAGGAGGGCUAAGCAUGACAUCCAGCACGUGGUCAGUGGAAUCCAGUAUUCCUACCCACCUCUCUAGUCUCCCCUCCACCCCUCUCCCUUUCAGAGGCACCAAGCUGCUUGUGGUCUUGUCUAUUCCCACUCCCUGCCUGACUGAACAUUUUCUCCACCCCCUGAUCAUCAGCAGCAGAAACUGGCUGCUCUUCCUCCUGGGUAGACAGCCAGACUGUAUUUCCCAGCUGCCCCUGCAGUGAGAUGUGGCCAUCGGAGCCAGCAUUGGCCAAUGGACUCUGCAUGGGAGUGACGCAUGCUGCCUCCAGGCUUCUCCCUAAAACCUCCCACGUGUCCUCCGCCUGCUCUUCCCACUUCCAAGGAGCACGGCAAUUGUGGAAGACCCAGAUUAGUGAUGGCAGAACCAUAGAUGGGAGGAACCUGGGUCCCUGACUUAAAAUAUCAUGGAUUUGGAUGUUCCCUUAGUGAGAAAUAAACUUCCAUUGUGUUUAAGCCUUUAUUUGUUUAUAGUUGGUUACAGCAACUGCCUUCUUUUAAUUAAAACACUCCUGCUGCU
RNAcentral lists this long non-coding RNA (1183 nucleotides) under Pan troglodytes (chimpanzee). Its description in RNAcentral is "lincRNA". Lineage: Eukaryota; Metazoa; Chordata; Mammalia; Primates; Hominidae. The record is from RNAcentral.